RNAcentral lists this ribosomal RNA (253 nucleotides) under uncultured bacterium. Its description in RNAcentral is "partial 16S ribosomal RNA". It matches the Rfam family "Bacterial small subunit ribosomal RNA", at positions 524 to 776 of the family's 1533-position model. The record is from RNAcentral.
UACGUAGGGACCAAGCGUUGUUCGGAUUUACUGGGCGUAAAGGGCGCGUAGGCGGCAAUUCAAGUCAGUUGUGAAAUCUCCGAGCUUAACUCGGAACGGUCAACUGAUACUGCUUUGCUAGAGUACAGAAGGGGCAAUCGGAAUUCUUGGUGUAGCGGUGAAAUGCGUAGAUAUCUGGAGGAAUACCGGUGGCGAAGGCGGCAUCCUGGACCAUUACUGACGCUGAGGCGCGAAAGCUAGGGGAGCAAACGGG